This 12422-nucleotide long non-coding RNA is filed under the name Cucumis sativus (cucumber). RNAcentral describes it as "long non-coding RNA (CSAT_LNC000718)". Lineage: Eukaryota; Viridiplantae; Streptophyta; Magnoliopsida; Cucurbitales; Cucurbitaceae. The record is from RNAcentral.
UUGGUCACCAUGGUUUUGUUGAGAUUGUCAAUCAUAUUAUGUGUGAUGUUAUAUGGUCCUUCUCUUUCAGGAGCUGCUUCUCCUAAGAACAUAUUCAUCCUCGCAGGUCAGAGUAACAUGGCUGGUCGAGGUGGAGUUGAGAACAAUGCUCAAGGAAAUCUCCAGUGGGAUGGGUUAGUCCCACCAGAAUGUCAACCUCAACCAUCCAUCCUACGAUUGAACCCUGGUCUCCAAUGGGAGAUAGCACGAGAGCCACUCCAUUUGGGAAUUGACAUCAAAAGGACCCCUGGAAUUGGUCCCGGUAUCGCAUUUGCUCAUGAAUUGCUAGUCAAAGCUGGACCAAAUGCUGGCGCUGUGGGUUUAGUUCCAUGUGCUAGAGGUGGCACUUUAAUUGAACAAUGGAUUAAAAAUCCUAGCAAUCCUAGUGCAACCUUUUACCAAAACUUCAUUGAACGAAUCAAAGCAUCGGAUAAAGAUGGUGGGGUUGUGCGUGCUCUUUUCUGGUUCCAAGGAGAAAGUGAUGCAGCUAUGAAUGACACUGCCAUUAGAUACAAAGACAACCUAAAGAAAUUCUUCACUGACAUUCGUGAUGACAUAAAACCUAGAUUUUUGCCCAUCAUUGUUGUUAAAAUAGCUCUCUACGACUUUUUUAGGCAGCACGAUACUCAUAACCUCCCAGCAGUGAGGGAAGCACAAGAAGCAGUCAGCAAGGAGCUGCCUAACGUGGUGGCCAUCGAUUCGUUGAAAUUACCUAUAAACUAUACAACAAAUGAAGGCAUCAACCUAGAUCAUGGUCAUUUUAACACCACAACCGAAAUUACUUUGGGUAAAUGGUUGGCUGAAACCUACCUCUCCCACUUUGGUCAAUUACUUUAAUUUGUAUUAUUUAUCAACUUUGUUAUUAUAUAUCAAUAAAAUCAUCCAUCCACUCCUUUUAUUUAAAAUCUCCUUCCAAUUGACUCUCAACAUAAAAUAAUCAGUGGAAAUAAUUUCAUACUCAAAUCUCUAAUGAAUCAUCUUUGCAUCAUUAUCUUCUACACUAACACUUGGGAGAGGCGAAAAAGAGAGUUUGGGGGCAAAAGAAAAAACAAAUUCGACCCAAAAUUUUACAUUAAUUUUUCUUUAUGAUUAUACCUUUCACAAUCAAAAUGGCUCAACUGAAUUUAACUGUUUCCUGACUUCCUACAAUAACAUAUUUAUUUAAUUUUUUAAUACUUUUUUCUCAUUUAAAAACAAAUGUAUUUUCCAUUAACGUCAAUCAUAUCACUAAUAAAAUUUAAAAAGGGAAAAUAUCAUUUGUUUCUUGAGGUAUUUUAAAAAAUAUAAAAAAAAUAUUUACACUAAUUUAAAAACCAUUCACAAUGAAAAUAUUAAAAAAUGCACUUAUUAAUUGACAUCGUUUAAAUUUGGUUAUUUUUUUAAAAUUUUUUUUUUUAUAUAAGGUUGUUUAAAAGAAAAAUUGGUAUACACUAUCGUUUAUAUUUAAUGGUUCAAAUUUGGCCACUCAAAUCUAAAGGGUCUUUUUAGAAUCUUUAGUACAUAUAUUUAGAUUUAAUUAUUAUUUUUUUUUUUGGUUUAGAUUUGGUCUAAUGUCCCAACAAUUUUUUUCAUUAUCUUUUAUAUUUGCACACGAUUUUAAACAACCAAACAAUGGUUUUUAAAAAUAAAAGAAAAUUAAAAAAAAAAAAAGAGAAAAAGACUUGAAAAGAAGAAGAAAAAUAGUUGAAGGGAAAGAGAAGAAAUAUUUUUGUAUAUAAUCAUAUUAUUCAUUUUGUUCCACGGCCCACAAAUAUUUUGUCGAUUUGUUGAAAAUUAAAUCUGUUUCUUUUUAAACAGUGAUAAACAUAACAUAUCUAAUUAAUUAAUUUAAUCUAAUAAAAAGUGAUUGAGAUCAUUCUAAAAUAGUAAAAUGGAUGAAGAAAUAAACGAAGAAAAAAAUGGAUGGAUAGAAGAGAGUAAAGAGAAAGAGAAGAGACGGAGUGCUUGAGAAUGAGAGCGAAUUGGAAACCGUUUUAUCUUUUUGUUUGGCGCUUGCAGAUAUAACAAAAUUAGUUUUAGAAAUUAGGCCCAUAAAACACACUUUUGAAUUUGCAAAAAUGACAAAAUUCAAGUCAGUCCACAUUUGAAAAAUGUAAAAUUACAAACCUUCCCUCGAAUUGUAAACAUUUUCACACAUCAUUUGAUAUGUUGUUGAUACACUUGGUAUGUUUUUUAUAUAUUUGUUAUGCUUGUUGAUACACUCGAUCAAUUAAAUAACACUUGAUGCAUAUAAUUGGUUUGAUACACUUAUAUGUUGUUGAUACAUUUGUUAAACUUUGCAAAUACACUCAAUUAAUUAAAUACAUUGAUGCACUAAGUAUAAUACUUUUGUUGUAUUGUCGAUACAUUUAUUAAAGGGACACUUGCAAAAAUGACAAAAUAAGUUAUAAUAAUUAAAUCCAUAACACAUAUACUUUAUUAUUUGCAAAAAUGACAAAAACGAAGCCCAAUCCACACAUCAAAAAGUAAAAUGUCACAAAUGUCUUCGUUACUAAUAUACGUUUGAUACACCUUAUACUGAUACACCUAAUACCGUUUGAUACAUCUGAUACUUCUUGAUACACCCGAUACAGUUGAUUGAUAUACUUGAUGCACUUAAUGCACUUGAUACUUUUUGAUAAACUUGAUACCUUUUAAUAGACACCUGAAACUUAUGUUUGAUACACCUGAUGCACUGCAUAUACAUUUAGUAUUCUUCACUUAUGCAAUUGAUUGAUUAAAUGCACUUGAUAUGCUUGAAGUCCUACUUAUACACUUGAUAUACUAUUGUUAUACACUUGUAAACUUGGUUCAUAUACUUAAUAAUGAUUUACUUUGCUGAUAUGCUUUAACAAUAUAUUGUUGAUAAACUUGAUAAUGAUACACUAAGUUACAUCAUUCAUAUACUUAAUAAUACUCUAAUAAACUGCAUAAAAUUUAAAAAAUUGAAAAAUCAUGUAGUAAGUAUAUUAACCAACUAAUACAUAUAAUAUAAGUAUAUUAGAACAGAACACUGAUAUACAAAACUGAGACAAAGUUAAACCAAAACAAAAUUAAUGUAAAAAAAUAGAACAAAAUGAUUUAGAAUCAGAUUGUUGUACUAUGGAAAAAAGUAAAAAAAAAUCACAAAUGAAGUUAAAUUACUCUAAUCAACAACUAUUAUGUUUUAUAUUGUAAUUGUUGUACUAUUGAUAUUCUAAAAUUAAGAUUAAGACAUAAAUAAUAAAUAAUUUUUAUAGUAUAAGAAUAAAAAAAUAAUUAGAGCCUUACAAAGUGGGAGAAUAAAUAAAUAAUGGAUAGGACAUUAAAAAUAGGAAAAUAAAUAAGUUAUUGAAUGAUAGUUUAAAAAUAAUAACAAAUUUAAAAUUGAGAAGCGAGAAGUUUGUUAUAUUUGCAAAAUUCUAAAAUUAUAAUUGCUAUAUUAUAAAAUGUUCAUAUAGAAAUUUCCCAAAUUGAGGGUUAAAAGCGCAAAAUGCUCAUAAUCCACAAGUACUCACCUAUAAAAGUGAUCUUUAAAACUAACCGUACUAAAAAUAGAGUAAAAAAUAGUAUAAAAGGUGGGGUAAUAACAUAGAGAAAGGCAGAGGCAAGGAUCAGCCAACCAAACUAAGGGGGGAGUAACUAAAGCAAGAGAGUAGUUGUGUGUCUGUGCAAAUAGACACAAGAGGAAAAGUUAUCCUUUUUUUAAAAACCGUGCACAUUGUUUAUACUUUUCUUCUGUGUUUAUUUGUACAGACACAACAGACACAAAUUGGUCACCAUGGUUUUGUUGAGAUUGUCAAUCAUAUUAUGUGUGAUGUUAUAUGGUCCUUCUCUUUCAGGAGCUGCUUCUCCUAAGAACAUAUUCAUCCUCGCAGGUCAGAGUAACAUGGCUGGUCGAGGUGGAGUUGAGAACAAUGCUCAAGGAAAUCUCCAGUGGGAUGGGUUAGUCCCACCAGAAUGUCAACCUCAACCAUCCAUCCUACGAUUGAACCCUGGUCUCCAAUGGGAGAUAGCACGAGAGCCACUCCAUUUGGGAAUUGACAUCAAAAGGACCCCUGGAAUUGGUCCCGGUAUCGCAUUUGCUCAUGAAUUGCUAGUCAAAGUUGGACCAAAUGCUGGCGCUGUGGGUUUAGUUCCAUGUGCUAGAGGUGGCACUUUAAUUGAACAAUGGAUUAAAAAAUCCUAGCAAUCCUAGUGCAACCUUUUACCAAAACUUCAUUGAACGAAUCAAAGCAUCGGAUAAAGAUGGUGGGGUUGUGCGUGCUCUUUUCUGGUUCCAAGGAGAAAGUGAUGCAGCUAUGAAUGACACCGCCAUUAGAUACAAAGACAACCUAAAGAAAUUCUUCACUGACAUUCGUGAUGACAUAAAACCUAGAUUUUUGCCCAUCAUUGUUGUUAAAAUAGCUCUCUACGACUUUUUUAGGCAGCACGAUACUCAUAACCUCCCAGCAGUGAGGGAAGCACAAGAAGCAGUCAGCAAGGAGCUGCCUGACGUAGUGGCCAUCGAUUCGUUGAAAUUACCUAUAAACUAUACAACAAAUGAAGGCAUCAACCUAGAUCAUGGUCAUUUUAACACCACAACCGAAAUUACUUUGGGUAAAUGGUUGGCUGAAACCUACCUCUCCCACUUUGGUCAAUUACUUUAAUUUGUAUUAUUUAUCAACUUUGUUAUUAUAUAUCAAUAAAAUCAUCCAUCCACUCCUUUUUUUUUUUUAAAUCUCCUUCCAAUUGACUCAUAACAUAAUUAAUUAAUUGAAACAAUUUCUUACUCACCUACCUCUACCAGAAUCAUCUUUGCAUGAUUAUCUACACUUUGUUUAGGGGAAAUGUUGGGUUAUGGAAGGGUUAGGGUUAUAAUAAAGGGUUUUUAACUCAUAUAGCUUUUAAUUAAAAAGUAAUUUUAAUAAAUACAUUCACAAUCAAACUUAUUAAACAAUCAUAAAACUCUCAUAACAAUUAAAUUUUUUAAUUUAUUUCAAACCCUAACUUUAACGACUAAUUAUCUAAACUUAUUUAUGUAAAUUUUUUUAGCAACGUUUAUUAAGUCAACUAAAUUGACAAAAUAAAUUUCAUAAAACUGCAAAUUGGAUUUGGAUUUCUCUCACUCACAAAUGACCAUUGUAUUUUUCUAUUUCUCACUAUUCUUUUAAAUUAAAGAUCAAUAACAAACAUAAUUAUUAACUAUAAGUUAUAACAAAGGUUUACUACUCCUAUAUAUCCUAUAUAUCCACAAAGAAAAUUAGUUGUACAUUCAUCCAUUAUACUAAAAGUACCAAAAAAAAUUCUAACACAUCAUGAAUCAUUAAAUUUUCAUAAUGUCAACAAAUCUCAUCCCAAAACAGAGCUCCAAACACACAGCAUUUACCAUCUCUCGUUGAUUGUAAUUCACAAACAAAUUUGCCAAGAAAAUCUCAUUUAACCCCAAAUUGUUAAACGAAACAGAGAGAGAUGAGAGAAAAAAUUUACACGAAGAGAAAGAGGAAAGCGGAGAGGGAAAAGGGAAAGAAGAAAAAGCAGAGGGGAUGGGGAAAGAGGAAACAAAGAGAGAAAGAGGAAAGAGGAAGAAGAAGCAACAGGGAUCGAGGGAAAAUCAAGGGACUAAUACGCAAGCUACGAGAGAGUGAAGGAAAGAGUUAUGGCAGAGAUCGAGGGGAUAAGUGUGAAAGGGAUUUAGAGGUAUUAUGGAAACCCUAGAACUAGAGUUUCUAUAAGUUGGACUCCAAACAAAUUUUAGGGUUAAGUGAUAAACAGAGACCCAAACGCUACUCUCAAGGUGAGAAACAUACUGUUGGGCAAAAUAAACAAAUUCAACAAACAUUUCUCUAUUUAGGUCAAUUAACAAAAUUAUCUUUAACACCAAAAUUUUACAUUAAUUUUCCUCUAUGAUUAUACCUAUCAGAAUCAAAAUGGCUCAAUUGAAUUUAAGUGUUUGUGGACUUCCUACAAUGACACAUUUAUUUAAUUUCAUAAUACACUUGGUUUCUUUAGUUUAAAAAUACCUAUAUUUUUCAUUAACGCCAAUUACAUACACUAAUAAAAUUUUAAAAGUGAAAAAGCAGUUUGUUUCUUUUUUAAAACAUAUAACACCAAUUUCGAAAAUGGAAGAGAGCCAGAGAUCCACACUAUAAAAUAUAGUGAAUAAUUUAAUAUCAUUUUAGAUUUGGAUAUCCAAUAUUCCAACUAUUUUUUCACGACCUUAAACAUCUCAAAUAACAGUUUGAAAUAUUUUUAAUAAAAAAAUAGACAUUUUAUAUUUGGUAGGGUUGUUCACGGUUCAGUUCGAGGCCAAAAUCGCACCGAACCAAAAAGUAAAGAAAUAUCCUUCAAUUCAUAAUAAAAAUCCUAUAUAAACAUUAGCUUACAAAGUUACAAGCAUAGAUUAAAUUAAUUUUGUACAGUAAUUAAGUAUAAGACAUAAAAGUUUCAAACAAUGAAGUUUGAAAGUCCAUCAAAAUAAUUCCUAUAAAGUUGAAUAAAGCGAUUCGGUUCAAUUUUAAAAUAGAAUUAAAUGUCUUAAACUAAAUCGAAUAGCAUAAGAAUCAAUUUCAAUUUAACACAAAUCGAAUCAAAUCGUAUGUAUUCGGUUUUGGUUAUGUUAUGUAGUUAUAGUUCGAUUUGUCAUUUGGUUUGGUUUUCAACUAUUCUUUAACACCACUAAUAUUUGGUACACAAUCUUGAAUUAAAUAACAGUUUUAAAAAAAAAAUUGCAAAAGAAGAAAAAAAACUAUGAAAAAGAAUGGCAGACCUAGAAUAGUUUUUUUUAAAAAUAGUCAUUCUAGGCUUUUCCAUUUAGUUACACGGUCCAUAAAUAUUUUUUUAAUUUAUUAUAUUUAUGAAAAUUAAAUUUUAAUUAUGGCUAAACAUAAAAUAUCUAAUUAAUUAAUUUAAUCUAAUAGAAAUUAAUAAAUCGUAAAAUAGAUGAGGAAAAAAAAUCCAUGACAAACAUUUUUUUUAUCUUUUCUAUUUCUUUUGUUUAAAAACAAAGUCUACUUUCUUUAAAUAUAAUUCAUAGUAAAAAAUUUCAAAACAACAAAUUAAAGUUAUUAUUUUUUUAAAAAAAAUGACCAUAAAUAAAAUAUAGAUAAUAAAAUAAAAAAGUUAUUGAAGAUGGUAGUAGUGUCUAUAUACAACACAAAUUAAGCUUAUAGACACGUAAAUAUUUUUUUUAAGACUUAUAGAAAAAAUAACGAGAAAUGAUUAUUGAAAAUAUUUUAUUUUUCUUAUAUAGAAAAGGGAAAAAUAAAUGCCAUAGCUUUACAAACCUAAUUAAUUUGAGGAGAGUACAUCAACUUUUAAUAUUCAUAUAGAAAUUUACAAAAUUGAGGAAUGUUCGUAUAGAAAUUUACCAAAUUGAGGGUUAAAGCGAAAAACACUCACAAUCCACAAGUAUUCACCUAUAAAAAUGAUAUUUAAAACUUAACCAUACUAAAAAAAGAGUAAAAAAUAGUAUAAAAGGUAGGGUAGUAACAUAGAGAAAGGCAGAGACAAGGAUCAGCCAACCAAACUAAAGGGGGGCAGUAACUAAAGCAAGAGAGUAGUUGUGUCUUUGCAAAUAGACACAACAGGACAAGUUACAUCUGUGUUUAUUUGCAUAGACACAAAUUGGUCACCAUGGUUUUGUUGAGAUUGUCAAUCAUAUUAUGUGUGAUGUUAUAUGGUCCUUCUCUUUCAGGAGCUGCUUCUCCUAAGAACAUAUUCAUCCUCGCAGGUCAAAGUAACAUGGCUGGUCGAGGUGGAGUUGAGAACAAUGCUCAAGGAAAUCUCCAGUGGGAUGGGUUAGUCCCACCAGAAUGUCAACCUCAACCAUCCAUCCUACGAUUGAACCCUGGUCUCCAAUGGGAGAUAGCACGAGAGCCACUCCAUUUGGGAAUUGACAUCAAUAGGACCCCUGGAAUUGGUCCCGGUAUCGCAUUUGCUCAUGAAUUGCUAGUCAAAGCUGGACCAAAUGCUGGCGCUGUGGGUUUAGUUCCAUGUGCUAGAGGUGGCACUUUAAUUGAACAAUGGAUUAAAAAUCCUAGCAAUCCUAGUGCAACCUUUUACCAAAACUUCAUUGAACGAAUCAAAGCAUCAGAUAAAGAUGGUGGGGUUGUGCGUGCUCUUUUCUGGUUCCAAGGAGAAAGUGAUGCAGCUAUGAAUGACACUGCCAUUAGAUACAAAGACAACCUAAAGAAAUUCUUCACUGACAUUCGCGAUGACAUAAAACCUAGAUUUUUGCCCAUCAUUGUUGUUAAAAUAGCUCUCUACGACUUUUUUAGGCAGCACGAUACUCAUAACCUCCCAGCAGUGAGGGAAGCACAAGAAGCAGUCAGCAAGGAGCUGCCUGACGUAGUGGCCAUCGAUUCGUUGAAAUUACCUAUAAACUAUACAACAAAUGAAGGCAUCAACCUAGAUCAUGGUCAUUUUAACACCACAACCGAAAUUACUUUGGGUAAAUGGUUGGCUGAAACCUACCUCUCCCACUUUGGUCAAUUACUUUAAUUUGUAUUAUUUAUCAACUUUGUUUUAUUAUAUAUCAAUAAAAUCAUCCAUCCACUCCUUUUAUUUAAAAUCUCCUUCCAAUUGACUCUCAACAUAAAAUAAUCAAUGGAAAUAAUUUCAUACUCAAAUCUCUAAUGAAUCAUCUUUGCAUCAUUAUCUUCUACACUAACACUUGGGAGAGGCGAAAAAGAGAGUUUGGGGGCAAAAGAAAAAACAAAUUCGACCCAAAAUUUUACAUUAAAUUUUUUUUAUGAUUAUACCUUUCACAAUCAAAAUGGCUCAACUGAAUUUAACUGUUUCCUGACUUCCUACAAUAACACAUUUAUUUAAUUUUUUAAUACUUUUUUCUCAUUUAAAAACAAAUGUAUUUUUCAUUAACGUCAAUCAUAUCACUAAUAAAAUUUAAAAAGGGAAAAGAUCAUUUGUUUCUUGAGGUAUUUUAAAAAAUAUAAAAAAAAAUAUUUACACUAAUUUAAAAACCAUUCACAAUGAAAAUAUUAAAAAAUGCACUUAUUAAUUGACAUCGUUUAAAUUUGGUUAUUUUUUUAAAAAAAAAUUUUUAUAUAAGGUUGUUUAAAAGAAAAAUUGGUAUACACUAUCGUUUAUAUUUAAUGGUUCAAAUUUGGCCACUCAAAUCUAAAGGGUCUUUUUAGAAUCUUUAGUACAUAUAUUUAGAUUUAAUUAUUUUUUUUGGUUUAGAUUUGGUCUAAUGUCCCAACAAUUUUUUUCCAUUAUCUUUUAUAUUUGCACACGAUUUUAAACAACCAAACAAUGGUUUUUAAAAAUAAAAGAAAAUUUAAAAAAAAAAAGAGAAAAAGACUUGAAAAGAAGAAGAAAAAUAGUUUAAGGGAAAGAGAAGUAUUUAAAAAAAAAAAUGAUCAUCCUCAUGAACUUUUCAUUUUGUUCCACAGCCCACAAAUAUUUUGUCGAUUUGGUUGAAAAUUAAAUCUGUUUCUUUUUAAUCAGUGAUAAACAUAACAUAUCUAAUUAAUUAAUUCAAUCUAAUAAAAAGUGAUUGAGAUCAUUCUAAAAUAGUAAAAUGGAUGAAGAAAUAAACGAAGAAAAAAAUGGAUGGAUAGAAGAGAGUAAAGAGAAAGAGAAGAGACGGAGUGCUUGAGAAUGAGAGCGAAUUGGAAACCAUUUUAUCUUUUUGUUUGGCGCUUGCAGAUAUAACAAAAUUAGUUUUAGAAAUUAGACCCAUAAAACACUACUUUUGAAUUUGCAAAAAUGACAAAAUUCAAGUCAGUCCAUAUUUGAAAAAUGUAAAAUUACAAACCUACCCUCUAAAAUUGUAAACAUUUUCACACAUCGUUUGAUAUGUUGUUGAUACACUUGGUGUGUUUUUUAUAUACUUGUUAUGCUUGUUGAUACACUCGAUCAAUUAAAUAACACUUGAUACAUAUAAUUGGUUUGAUACACUUAUAUGUUGUUGAUACAUUUGUUAAACUUUGCAAAUACACUCAAUUAAUUAAAUACAUUGAUGCACUAAGUAUAAUACUUUUGUUGUAUUGUCGAUACAUUUAUUAAAGGGACACUUGCAAAAAUGACAAAAUAAGUUAUAAUAAUUAAAUCCAUAUCACAUAUACUUUAUUAUUUGCAAAAAUGACAAAAACGAAGCCCAAUCCACACAUCAAAAAGUAAAAUGUCACAAAUGUCUUCGUUACUAAUAUACGUUUGAUACACCUUAUACUGAUACACCUAAUACCGUUUGAUACAUCUGAUACUUCUUGAUACACCCGAUACAGUUGAUUGAUAUACUUGAUGCACUUGAUACUUUUUGAUAAACUUGAUACCUUUUAAUAGACACCUGAAACUUAUGUUUGAUACACCUGAUGCACUGCAUAUACAUUUAGUAUUCUUCACUUAUACAAUUGAUUGAUUAAAUGCACUUGAUAUACUUGAAGUCCUACUUAUACACUUGAUAUACUAUUGUUAUACACUUGUAAACUUGGUUCAUAUACUUAAUAAUGAUUUACUUUGCUGAUAUGCUUUAACAAUAUAUUGUUGAUAAACUUGAUAAUGAUACACUAAGUUACAUCAUUCAUAUACUUAAUAAUACUCUAAUAAACUGCAUAAAAUUUAAAAAAUCGAAAAAUCACGUAGUAAGUAUAUUAACCAACUAAUACAUAUAAUAUAAGUAUAUUAGAACACUGAUAUACAAAACUGAGACAAAGUUAAACCAAAACAAAAUUAAUGUAAAAAAAUAAAACAAAAUGAUUUAGAAUCAGAUUCAACUCAAAAUACAUAUGGAAAAAAGUAAAAAAAAAAAUCACAAAUGAAGUUAAAUUACUCUAAUCAACAACUAUUAUAUUUUACAUUGUAAUUGUUGUACUAUUGAUAUUCUAAAAUUAAGACUAAGACAUAAAUAAUAAAUAAUUUUUAUAGUAUAAGAAUAAAAAAAUAAUUAGGGCCUUACAAAGUGAGAGAAUAAAUAAAUAAUGGAUAAGACAUUAAAAAUAGGAAAAUAAAUAAGUUAUUGAAUGGUAGUUUAAAAAUAAUAACAAAUUUAAAAUUGAGAAGUGAGAAGUUUGUUAUAUUUGCAAAAUUCUAAAAUUAUAAUUGCUAUAUUAUAAAAUGUUCAUAUAGAAAUUUCCCAAAUUGAGGGUUAAAAGCGCAAAAUGCUCAUAAUCCACAAGUACUCACCUAUAAAAGUGAUCUUUAAAACUAACCGUACUAAAAAUAGAGUAAAAAAUAGUAUAAAAGGUGGGUAAUAACAUAGAGAAAGGCAGAGGCAAGGAUCAGCCAACCAAACUAAGGGGGGAGUAACUAAAGCAAGAGAGUAGUUGUGUGUCUGUGCAAAUAGACACAAGAGGAAAAGUUAUCCUUUUUUUAAAAACCGUGCACAUUGUUUAUACUUUUCUUCUGUGUUUAUUUGUACAGACACAACAGACACAAAUUGGUCACCAUGGUUUUGUUGAGAUUGUCAAUCAUAUUAUGUGUGAUGUUAUAUGGUCCUUCUCUUUCAGGAGCUGCUUUUCCUCAAGAACAUAUUCAUCCUCGCAGGUCAGAGUAACAUGGCUGGUCGAGGUGGAGUUGAGAACAAUGCUCAAGGAAAUCUCCAAUGGGAUGGGUUAGUCCCACCAGAAUGUCAACCUCAACCAUCCAUCCUACGAUUGAACCCUGGUCUCCAAUGGGAGAUAGCACGAGAGAGCCACUCCAUUUGGGAAUUGACAUCAAAAGGACCCCUGGAAUUGGUCCCGGUAUCGCAUUUGCUCAUGAAUUGCUAGUCAAAGUUGGACCAAAUGCUGGCGCUGUGGGUUUAGUUCCAUGUGCUAGAGGUGGCACUUUAAUUGAACAAUGGAUUAAAAAUCCUAGCAAUCCUAGUGCAACCUUUUACCAAAACUUUCAUUGAACGAAUCAAAGCAUCGGAUAAAGAUGGUGGGGUUGUGCGUGCUCUUUUCUGGUUCCAAGGAGAAAAGUGAUGCAGCUAUGAAUGACACUGCCAUUAGAUACAAAGACAACCUAAAAGAAAUUCUUCACUGACAUUCGCGAUGACAUAAAAACCUAGAUUUUUGCCUAUCAUUGUUGUUAAAAUAGCUCUCUACGACUUUUUUUAGGCAGCACGAUACUCAUAACCUCCCAGCAGUGAGGGAAGCAAAAGAAGCAGUCAGCAAGGAGCUGCCUGACGUAGUGGCCAUCGAUUCGUUGAAAUUACCUAUAAACUAUACAACAAAUGAAGGCAUCAACCUAGAUCAUGGUCAUUUUUAACACCACAACCGAAAUUACUUUGGGUAAAUGGUUGGCUGAAACCUACCUCUCCCACUUUGGUCAAUUACUUUAAUUUGUAUUAUUUAUCAACUUUGUUAUUAUAUAUCAAUAAAAUCAUCCAUCCACUCCUUUCUUAAAAAAAAAUCUCCUUCCUAUUGACUCUCAACGUAAUCAAUUGAUUGAAAUAAUUUCUUACUCACAUCUCUAAUCAAUCGUCUUUGCAUCAUUUAUGUAUA